UACGUAGGGUGCGAGCGUUGUCCGGAAUUAUUGGGCGUAAAGAGCUCGUAGGCGGUUUGUUGCGUCGGCUGUGAAAUCCCGAGGCUCAACCUCGGGUCUGCAGUCGAUACGAGCAAACUAGAGUGUUGCAGGGGAGACUGGAAUUCCUGGUGUAGCGGUGAAAUGCGCAGAUAUCAGGAGGAACACCGGUGGCGAAAGGCGGGUCUCUGGGGCAACAACUGACGCUGGAGGAGCGAAAAGCGUGGGGAGCGAACAGG
This 257-nucleotide ribosomal RNA is filed under the name uncultured bacterium. RNAcentral describes it as "partial 16S ribosomal RNA". It matches the Rfam family "Bacterial small subunit ribosomal RNA", at positions 524 to 776 of the family's 1533-position model. The record is from RNAcentral.